UUAAUUUGAGCCUCCCGAGUAAAUCAUCCUUUUUUGCUUUGUUCUGAAUAUUAUUAGGAAUAGUGUGUGUCUGUGACUGUGUUGACAUACAGUUCCUGUCGCUUUGCCAGUGAGGAUUCGUGCACUUCGGUGUAGAGAACCCUUUCUUUCCCUUGCUGUUUGUAAUGGAUGGAAGCUGUCACAUCUCUCUAAGCCUCGAACUCCUGGCCUGAUACUCAGUUGUCCGUCUGUCUUCAGAAAGUGAAGGCUGUGUAUGGAACAGUGGUUGGCAGUUUUCCUCAACUUUGCAAGAGAGAGAGAAUUGGUUGGAAUGAAACCUUGCUCUCCAUACAGUCCGCUUGAGAUGCAGCAUUGAAAGCAAUGAAACUGAGAAGACACUAAAAGAAAUUCGGGGCAAAGUGCCAAACGCCCAGACGGAAGCAGAAUGUGGACCAAAAAGCUUGCGACAAUUGGGUAAUUAUGGUUUAUGAAUUUCAGCUUUAAUCUGUAGUUCAGUGAGUCCUGAUUAAAUAUCUGUUAAACACAAUUAAAGUUUGUUUUUGUAUUUCACCGUCUUGAUCAGAAUAAUUAGAGACUGCGUGUUUCAUGUCAAAAGUAGCAAGAGGAAUUUUAGUGAAUGAACAUCGUUUUUAAAAGCCA
Molecule: long non-coding RNA, 639 nt
Filed under: Apteryx rowi (Okarito brown kiwi)
Lineage: Eukaryota; Metazoa; Chordata; Aves; Apterygiformes; Apterygidae
Description: lncRNA (ENSARWG00000007637.1)
Source: RNAcentral